CUAAGAUGCCCCUAAGAUGCCUUAUGUUCAACUCUUGCAACCCAAUAGGAAGGAGAGAGAACGUGCAACUUUACAAAGAAAACACUACUCAAUCAUGUCUUUUUUUUUUUUUUUAAACGAAAGGAACAUAAAAUGGAAAUUUUGAUGUGUGAAAUUGCAGACAGAUCAGUCCAAAAUGUUGAGGAUUGCCAUUUAAGAACUACAUAAGGUCAUGACACAAAUCACCAACUGCCGAGAAGAAACUCAAAAUCAUUCUGCUGUUAAACGUUUUACUAUCUAUGGAAUGAAGAGGUUUGUAAAUUCUAGCUAUCAAGCCUCUCAAAAAAGUACAAAUACCCCAUAUCCUUUGGAGGAUUUACAGAAGCUCCAACCUUGCUGUCGUUGAAAAUAACCCAUCUUCCAUCUUUUAGGACAUGGGCAACAUAAUGGCCGCACUGUGUAGAAGUUCCAAUAUGGCUCACU
RNAcentral lists this unclassified non-coding RNA (462 nucleotides) under Hevea brasiliensis (rubber tree). The record is from RNAcentral. Lineage: Eukaryota; Viridiplantae; Streptophyta; Magnoliopsida; Malpighiales; Euphorbiaceae.